RNAcentral lists this ribosomal RNA (484 nucleotides) under uncultured bacterium. RNAcentral's name for it is "partial 16S ribosomal RNA". It matches the Rfam family "Bacterial small subunit ribosomal RNA", at positions 30 to 507 of the family's 1533-position model. The record is from RNAcentral.
AUUGAACGCUGGCGGCAGGCCUAACACAUGCAAGUCGAGCGGAUGAAGGGAGCUUGCUCCUGGAUUCAGCGGCGGACGGGUGAGUAAUGCCUAGGAAUCUGCCUUGUAGUGGGGGAUAACGUCCGGAAACGGGCGCUAAUACCGCAUACGUCCUGAGGGAGAAAGUGGGGGAUCUUCGGACCUCACGCUAUCAGAUGAGCCUAGUUCGGAUUAGCUAGUUGGUGGGGUAAAGGCCUACCAAGGCGACGAUCCGUAACUGGUCUGAGAGGAUGAUCAGUCACACUGGAACUGAGACACGGUCCAGACUCCUACGGGAGGCAGCAGUGGGGAAUAUUGGACAAUGGGCGAAAGCCUGAUCCAGCCAUGCCGCGUGUGUGAAGAAGGUCUUCGGAUUGUAAAGCACUUUAAGUUGGGAGGAAGGGCAGUAAGUUAAUACCUUGCUGUUUUGACGUUACCAACAGAAUAAGCACCGGCUAACUUCGUG